AAGGAUCAUUACUGAAGUGAUUUGGGGAUGUUGCUGGCCUCUUCUUGUGGGGGGCAAUGUGCACUCUCCAAAACAAUUCACGAUUUCCAUCACACCCCUUGUGCACAUCCUGUAGGCCGCCCUCUCACUCCCUUUUUACCAAGGGAGAAAGCAGCAGGGUGUCCUAUGUAUUCUGCCAAUAUCACACAUUUUGAAUGGUGCUCAGGAAUGCAUCUUUUGGAUUAUUUUUGUAAAAGUAAUCAUAGAAACAACUUUCAACAAUGGAUCUCUUGGCUCUCGCAUCGAUGAAGAACGCAGCGAAAUGCGAUACGUAAUGUGAAUUGCAGAAUUCCGUGAAUCAUCGAAUCUUUGAACGCACCUUGCGCCUCUUGGUAUUCCGAGGGGCAUGCCUGUUUGAGUGUCAUUAAUAUCCUCAAAAGAGACCUUCCUUGAGGAGGCCUCUUUUGGAAGUUGGGGUGUGCUGGCCCUUUGUUUCUAGGGUUCGGCUCCUCUGAAAUGCAUUAGCGGUGUGACAUCCACCUGCACAUGCUUCCUUGGCAUUGAUAAGUCCUUCAUGCCCAAGUUGCUGAGCAGCUGUGGCAAGGGUUCACUCGCUCAAAGCUUUGCAUGGGUUCGCCCAUCAUUAUGACCCAAUGUAACCUCAAAUCAGGUAGGACUACCC
RNAcentral lists this ribosomal RNA (661 nucleotides) under Hygrocybe spadicea. RNAcentral's name for it is "eukaryotic LSU rRNA". The stretch from base 250 to 403 matches the Rfam family "5.8S ribosomal RNA". The record is from RNAcentral. Lineage: Eukaryota; Fungi; Basidiomycota; Agaricomycetes; Agaricales; Hygrophoraceae.